Molecule: long non-coding RNA, 255 nt
Organism: Pundamilia nyererei
Lineage: Eukaryota; Metazoa; Chordata; Actinopteri; Cichliformes; Cichlidae
Exons: 6
Source: RefSeq, a predicted model, not a curated record
AAGAAGGAGGACGAUGAGAAAAAAGAUGAAGAGCAGAGCGAUAUUGUUCUGUCAGCAGCAGGUGGUGUGAUUCCAGGACCAGAUGAAAAGGUUCCUGGCAAGCUUCAAACUUCAGACGAUUGCAAAGUCUCCUCUACAUUGGCUGCAGGGGGAGUAGAGGCAGUACCUGAGGAUGGCAACCUGAGUGAUGAUGAAGGAGGAGGGGAAGAGAAGGACAAAAAGAAGAAAAUGAAAAAGAAAAAGGAUUCCAGCUCA